AUCUAUUGGGUGUCUGGGAAGUGGGUGGGCGAAGCCCACCCACUGCUAAAGGAUCCCCCUCCAGCCUAAGGGGAGGACCCACAGGACCACAGAACCCACUGAGUUCGGGGGACAACUAAUAAAAGAACAGGGACAGGAGUGAGGUCAAAGGGCCAUAAGAAGGGAACCUGACGGGGACACCGAGCAGAGAACCCCGGACAGCGCCCACUGCUCCUCGAAGGCGUCAAGGGAGCCAGUGGACGCCGCCCAGAGGAACUCCGCCCGGAUGCAUGAUCGGACCAUGGAGCAGAAACAAGCCCCACAGUCACCGGAGUCUCCAUCGGCCAACCUCCCCUCCCUGGUCGCGUGGAUGGCCUUUUUAGCCAGGGCGAGGAGGAGGUUGACCAGGAGGUCCCGGGACUUCGUGGGGCCACGGAUAGGGAGUGCGUAGAGAAGGAGGUGAGGGGAGAAGUGCAACCAGAAACGUAAGAGGAUGGCAAUGAGGAGCCGGUGUAGGGGCUGCAACCUAGCGCACUCUAAGUAAACAUGCGCCAGGGUCUCCCUCACGCCGCAGAAGGGGCAGGUGUCCGGGACAGGGGUAAACCGCGCCAAGUACACGCCCGUGCUUACAUAGGAGAGUGUACCUAUUGGGUGUCUGGGAAGUGGGCGGGCAAAGCCCGCCCACUGCUAAAGGAUCCUCCCCCAGCCUAAGGGGAGGAACCACAGGGCCACAGAACCCACUGAGUUCGGGGGACAACUAAUAAAAGAACAGGGACAGGAGUGAGGUCAAAGGGUCAUAAGAAGGGAACCUGACGGGGACACCGAGCAGAGAACCCCGGACAGCGCCCACUGCUCCUCGAAGGCGUCAAGGGAGCCAGUGGACGCCGCCCAGAGGAACUCCGCCCGGAUGCGUGAACGGACCAUGGAUCGGAAACAAGCCCCACAGUCGCCGGGGUCUCCAUC
Molecule: long non-coding RNA, 942 nt
Organism: Gopherus flavomarginatus (Mexican gopher tortoise)
Lineage: Eukaryota; Metazoa; Chordata; Testudines; Testudinidae
Exons: 3
Source: RefSeq, a predicted model, not a curated record